RNAcentral lists this ribosomal RNA (495 nucleotides) under uncultured bacterium. RNAcentral describes it as "partial 16S ribosomal RNA". It matches the Rfam family "Bacterial small subunit ribosomal RNA", at positions 28 to 507 of the family's 1533-position model. The record is from RNAcentral.
GACGAACGCUGGCGGCGUGCCUAAUACAUGCAAGUAGAACGCUGAAGGAGGAGCUUGCUUCUCUGGAUGAGUUGCGAACGGGUGAGUAACGCGUAGGUAACCUGCCUGGUAGCGGGGGAUAACUAUUGGAAACGAUAGCUAAUACCGCAUAAGAGUAGAUGUUGCAUGACAUUUGCUUAAAUGGUGCAAUUGCAUCACUACCAGAUGGACCUGCGUUGUAUUAGCUAGUUGGUGAGGUAACGGCUCACCAAGGCGACGAUACAUAGCCGACCUGAGAGGGUGAUCGGCCACACUGGGACUGAGACACGGCCCAGACUCCUACGGGAGGCAGCAGUAGGGAAUCUUCGGCAAUGGACGGAAGUCUGACCGAGCAACGCCGCGUGAGUGAAGAAGGGUUUCGGAUCGUAAAGCUCUGUUGUAAGAGAAGAACGAGUGUGAGAGUGGAAAGUUCACACUGUGACGGUAUCUUACCAGAAAGGGACGGCUAACUACGUG